Molecule: ribosomal RNA, 1637 nt
Filed under: Salmonella enterica subsp. enterica serovar Chester
Lineage: Bacteria; Pseudomonadati; Pseudomonadota; Gammaproteobacteria; Enterobacterales; Enterobacteriaceae
Description: partial 23S ribosomal RNA
Rfam family: Bacterial large subunit ribosomal RNA
Source: RNAcentral
UGAAAAGCCCGCUCGCCGGAAGACCAAGGGUUCCUGUCCAACGUUAAUCGGGGCAGGGUGAGUCGACCCCUAAGGCGAGGCCGAAAGGCGUAGUCGAUGGGAAACGGGUUAAUAUUCCCGUACUUGGUGUUACUGCGAAGGGGGGACGGAGAAGGCUAUGUUGGCCGGGCGACGGUUGUCCCGGUUUAAGCGUGUAGGUGUGUGUUCCAGGUAAAUCCGGUUCACUUUAACACUGAGGCGUGAUGACGAGGCACUACGGUGCUGAAGCAACAAAUGCCCUGCUUCCAGGAAAAGCCUCUAAGCAUCAGGUAACAUCAAAUCGUACCCCAAACCGACACAGGUGGUCAGGUAGAGAAUACCAAGGCGCUUGAGAGAACUCGGGUGAAGGAACUAGGCAAAAUGGUGCCGUAACUUCGGGAGAAGGCACGCUGACACGUAGGUGAAGUGAUUUACUCAUGGAGCUGAAGUCAGUCGAAGAUACCAGCUGGCUGCAACUGUUUAUUAAAAACACAGCACUGUGCAAACACGAAAGUGGACGUAUACGGUGUGACGCCUGCCCGGUGCCGGAAGGUUAAUUGAUGGGGUCAGCGCAAGCGAAGCUCCUGAUCGAAGCCCCGGUAAACGGCGGCCGUAACUAUAACGGUCCUAAGGUAGCGAAAUUCCUUGUCGGGUAAGUUCCGACCUGCACGAAUGGCGUAAUGAUGGCCAGGCUGUCUCCACCCGAGACUCAGUGAAAUUGAACUCGCUGUGAAGAUGCAGUGUACCCGCGGCAAGACGGAAAGACCCCGUGAACCUUUACUAUAGCUUGACACUGAACAUUGAGCCUUGAUGUGUAGGAUAGGUGGGAGGCUUUGAAGUGUGGACGCCAGUCUGCAUGGAGCCGACCUUGAAAUACCACCCUUUAAUGUUUGAUGUUCUAACGUGGACCCGUGAUCCGGGUUGCGGACAGUGUCUGGUGGGUAGUUUGACUGGGGCGGUCUCCUCCUAAAGAGUAACGGAGGAGCACGAAGGUUGGCUAAUCCUGGUCGGACAUCAGGAGGUUAGUGCAAUGGCAUAAGCCAGCUUGACUGCGAGCGUGACGGCGCGAGCAGGUGCGAAAGCAGGUCAUAGUGAUCCGGUGGUUCUGAAUGGAAGGGCCAUCGCUCAACGGAUAAAAGGUACUCCGGGGAUAACAGGCUGAUACCGCCCAAGAGUUCAUAUCGACGGCGGUGUUUGGCACCUCGAUGUCGGCUCAUCACAUCCUGGGGCUGAAGUAGGUCCCAAGGGUAUGGCUGUUCGCCAUUUAAAGUGGUACGCGAGCUGGGUUUAGAACGUCGUGAGACAGUUCGGUCCCUAUCUGCCGUGGGCGCUGGAGAACUGAGGGGGGCUGCUCCUAGUACGAGAGGACCGGAGUGGACGCAUCACUGGUGUUCGGGUUGUCAUGCCAAUGGCACUGCCCGGUAGCUAAAUGCGGAAGAGAUAAGUGCUGAAAGCAUCUAAGCACGAAACUUGCCCCGAGAUGAGUUCUCCCUGAGACUUUAGGUCUCCUGAAGGAACGUUGAAGACGACGACGUUGAUAGGCCGGGUGUGUAAGCGCAGCGAUGCGUUGAGCUAACCGGUACUAAUGAACCGUGAGGCUUAACCUUACAACGCCGAAG